AGGCCUAACACAUGCAAGUCGAGCGAACCUUCGGGUUAGCGGCGGACGGGUUAGUAACGCGUGGGAACGUGCCCUUCACUAAGGAAUAGCCACUGGAAACGGUGAGUAAUACCUUAUACGCCCUUCGGGGGAAAGAUUUAUCGGUGAAGGAUCGGCCCGCGUCUGAUUAGAUAGUUGGUGGGGUAACGGCCUACCAAGUCGACGAUCAGUAGCUGGUUUUAGAGGAUGAUCAGCAACACUGGGACUGAGACACGGCCCAGACUCCUACGGGAGGCAGCAGUGGGGAAUCUUAGACAAUGGGCGCAAGCCUGAUCUAGCCAUGCCGCGUGAGUGAUGAAGGCCUUAGGGUCGUAAAGCUCUUUCGCCAGGGAUGAUAAUGACAGUACCUGGUAAAGAAACCCCGGCUAACUCCGUGCCAGCAGCCGCGGUAAUACGGAGGGGGUUAGCGUUGUUCGGAAUUACUGGGCGUAAAGCGCACGUAGGCGGACUAUUAAGUCAGAGGUGAAAUCCCGGGGCUCAACCCCGGAACUGCCUUUGAUACUGGUAGUCUUGAGUUCGAGAGAGGUGAGUGGAAUUCCGAGUGUAGAGGUGAAAUUCGUAGAUAUUCGGAGGAACACCAGUGGCGAAGGCGGCUCACUGGCUCGAUACUGACGCUGAGGUGCGAAAGUGUGGGGAGCAAACAGGAUUAGAUACCCUGGUAGUCCACACCGUAAACG
Molecule: ribosomal RNA, 716 nt
Filed under: uncultured bacterium
Lineage: Bacteria
Description: bacterial SSU rRNA
Rfam family: Bacterial small subunit ribosomal RNA
Source: RNAcentral